AUGCCGGGCCCCGCGAGGACCUCCCGAGAGACUCCUGAGAGCUCCACCGCAUCCACGGCUUCCACGGAGACGGCGGCCCCCGCCAGGACCUUCGCGGAGACGCCCGACAGCUCCACGACCUCCCGGGAGACGGCGACCCACGCCAGGACCUUCGUGGAGACGCCCGACAGCUCCACGACCUCCCCGGAGACGGCGACCACCGCCAGGACCUUCGCGGAGACGCCCGACAGCUCCGCGGCCUUCCCGGAGACGCCGCCCCCCGCCAGGACGCCCCCAGAGACGGCCGAGAGUUCCACUACGUACAGGCCCGCCCCCUUUCAGGUUUCACUGAAUGCAGGGAGCAACUGGGCACUCAACCUUGCACAAACUGGGGCAAGGAUUGAGCAGUGUGGCACAUAUUUAGGAUCUUGGGAAGCAUAUCUGAGGGGCCGCAGUGAAUUCUUGUGCCAAUUAGCAGAUUUCGUGCCUGAGAGUCAGUCUCCGACAUUAGUUGCUUGGAUGGCUGGGGCUUGUGGUGGCUUGGGCAAGGCCUUGGGCCACAUCGCGAACAUGGUGAAAGGCGCAUCAGGUUUAUGCUUGCUGGUUGGAGGCGCCAUCCAGCGCAUCAUGGAGAGGCAAGAGCUGGGGAUGGGCGCUGGGCCGCAAGGAGAUGUAGAAAACCCAUCUUCUGUUCCAAGGCUAGUGGUUGUGAGCUCACUUGAAGAGCUGGAGGAAGUAUUGAGUGAAUGGAAGGCAGCGAUCACCGCGCUAUCUAUUGAUGUGAGUCCAGACAUGCCCUUCAGCACGGCGAACGAGUGCUUUGAGCGGCUUGAGUUGGAUGGCUUGCAAGCGCUGAAUAUGAUUCAAGCAGGCCAACAUAUGAAGCUAAAGCGUGCUGAGUACCUGCGUGCCCAGACGCAGCAGGAUGCUGGGGACAUGAGCCACAGCGGAGCACCAGUGGCCCCGGGGACAUGA
This 954-nucleotide ribosomal RNA is filed under the name Triticum aestivum (bread wheat). RNAcentral's name for it is "partial small subunit ribosomal RNA". The record is from RNAcentral. Lineage: Eukaryota; Viridiplantae; Streptophyta; Magnoliopsida; Poales; Poaceae.